UAGGGAAUCUUCCACAAUGGACGAAGUCUGAUGGAGCAACGCCGCGUGAGUGAUGAAGGGUUUCGGCUCGUAAAACUCUGUUGUUGGAGAAGAACGGGUGUCAGAGUAACUGUUGACAUCGUGACGGUAUCCAACCAGAAAGCCACGGCUAACUACGUGCCAGCAGCCGCGGUAAUACGUAGGUGGCAAGCGUUGUCCGGAUUUAUUGGGCGUAAAGCGAGCGCAGGCGGUUUUUUAGGUCUGAUGUGAAAGCCUUCGGCUUAACCGGAGAAGUGCAUCGGAAACCGGGAGACUUGAGUGCAGAAGAGGACAGUGGAACUCCAUGUGUAGCGGUGAAAUGCGUAGAUAUAUGGAAGAACACCAGUGGCGAAGGCGGCUGUCUGGUCUGCAACUGACGCUGAGGCUCGAAAGCAUGGGUAGCGAACAGGAUUAGAUACCCUGGUAGUCCAUGCCGUAAACGAUGAGUGCUAAGUGUUG
Molecule: ribosomal RNA, 477 nt
Filed under: uncultured bacterium
Lineage: Bacteria
Description: partial 16S ribosomal RNA
Rfam family: Bacterial small subunit ribosomal RNA
Source: RNAcentral